Perognathus longimembris pacificus (Pacific pocket mouse) is the source of this 1078-nucleotide long non-coding RNA. RefSeq lists it as uncharacterized. The record is from RefSeq and is a predicted model, not a curated record. The transcript is spliced from 2 exons. Lineage: Eukaryota; Metazoa; Chordata; Mammalia; Rodentia; Heteromyidae.
AAGAACCGAGUGUAAUGGAUGCAUAAGGACAGUAAGUCAUCUUUUGAAAGGCUGCUAGAUCUCACCAUUAUUCUUGAGGUCAUACUCUUAAAAUAGUGAGAUUCAUAAUGAAAAUCAAUCAUACACAGCAAGAAACAAAUCCUGACCAUAACUGGGUUACAUUUUAUAAUUCUGAGGGAACUGAAAAGAACAGUUUAAUUUACAACCUAUGUGUCUCCUCCCUACCUCUAUUUAGAGGCAACUAAGUCAAGAAUAAAGAUACUCUAUUAGUAGGUUUAGCCAGCUGAGGCUUUGUUUCUGCUUUUAAUGAUAUAAAUAUCCAGGAGAUUACUAGGCAAGGAUACCAGAUAAGAUCUGACCAGCCACUCACUGACGUGGUGGGUUGAACUGUAGCAAAUAAGAACACACCAAUUUUUUUAGUCUCUUGGCAACCAAUUUUAUUAUGUUUUGACCAGGCAGCUGAUAUGACUCUGUGUGAAUUAACCAAUGAAGUUAUGAUAAAAACAAGAUUAGUGACUGUGAAUAUGGUUUUUCUAGUGUCAGUGAGAGAAAGUAUGUUUAUUUUCAAGGCUGCCUAAUUAAAUGGGUAGAAAUAACUUAAAUAAUCAUCCGCAUCAUCAUAAUAUUAAUAUUAAAGCAAUAUCCACUGGUCCUAAAAUGACAGUUCUGGCUCUAUUACUGGAGAAUCAUAGCCCAGACCAGACUGGGCAUAAGUUGAGAUCCUACCCCAAAAAUAACUAAGUCAUAAAAGGGUUAGAGGUGUGCUCAAGUGGUAAAGUAACCUUCCUAGCACAUUUGAGGCCCAGAGUUCAACACCUAACACCAUCCAAAAAAAAAGGUAGAUACAUGCAUAGUCACAAAAAUGAACAGGAACUCACCAUUCUUUGGACAUUAUCAUGAUUAAUGCAUAAACAUGACCUCUGACUAAGGCUAGUUACAGUGGGGUUUUGGAGCUAGGCAUGGUAGUUCAUACCUCUAAUCCUAAUCUUGGGAGGCAAAGACAGGAGGAUCAUAAAUUAGAGGCCAGUCUUGGCUCCAUAACAAUUCUAAAGCAGUCUAUAUUAGUAAGAGCCUGUCU